Molecule: non-coding RNA, 3426 nt
Organism: Myodes glareolus (Bank vole)
Lineage: Eukaryota; Metazoa; Chordata; Mammalia; Rodentia; Cricetidae
Source: RefSeq, a predicted model, not a curated record
GCCCUCAGGCCUCGUCCAGAGUGAAUACUUCCGGCUUCCCUCCUCCCACAAGAUGGCCGCCCGGCUGGGGUUUGCCAGUGUUGCUCUCCUCCGCCUCCGCUCAGCAUCUGGGAGGCCUGUCAUCCUCUUGGUUAACCUCAGCCUCCAGUAAUCCUGUCAAUUCUCCUCUUGGUGUGUGUGCUUUGACAAGCACCGAAGAGGCUAUUUUUCCCCUCUCCCUUUCAAGCUGGUACUGAAACACUCACACAAAAACAAUGAGAGGAGGUGGAGCCUGAUCAUCUCACCUGACUAUCGAUCUUGUUAUUGAGCACAGGUAAACGUGAACCCAGCCAGUCUGAGUUGCGCUUCCCUGCAAGCCUCGUGAGUCCCUGCAGCCACAGUUUGCAGUUCCGUCCUGAGCAGACGGAUGGCAUUACUUAGGAGUGGCAAACUCAGUCUGGGGACCUCUUUAGUAGUUCUACACAUCUUAGGCCAGGAGCUGGAACGUGCCCAGGACCCAGGUGAACGGGCCGUCUGUCUGCCUGGAAAACUUGUCAGCUCUAGUGGAGCAUCCACUGAGGAUUCCUGCAUGGUGUAUAUCCUGUAUAUCUUGGCUUCAGGUAGCUCGUAUAUACUCUUCAGGACUGCUGGGGAGGGGAGCUAAAAAUAUCUUAAGGCAUAUUGUGUUUGCUUAAUUUCUGUGGUUGACAUGAAGGAUUACAAAGACCGUGGUGACUUUAAACAUAUGCUCUUACUGUCUUUCUUACAGCUCUGCAUGUUAGCGCCCCACAUCUGGGUUAAAGUCAAUGUCUGAGCAGGGCAGCGUUCUUCUGAAGGUUUUAGGGAAGCAUUCCAGCCCAGGUUCUAGCCACCCACGUGUGGGAAGAGGCCUGUGACCCUCUUCCUCAAUUUUCAAAACCAGCCAGGUUGUAGCUCUCUGGUCUUUCUUCCAUGGAAUGGUUGUGGUUUCGAUGUUUUCUCCACUUUCAGUGAUUAGGUUGGGUUCACCUGGGUCAUCCCAAACACUCUCUCCAUCUCAAGGCUCCGGAUUUAAUCACUCCUCUUCUUUGAGAACGCUCCGUUCUUCUGAGUCACUUUGUCGUGUCCAUCACAAGCUCUGGAGACAUCACACAAGCACAGUGGGCUCUGGCCUCGUAAGCUCUUUCCUGUCUCCACCUGUCUGUUUCUCCCACGACUUCUCUUCCUCUGAUGAAUCUAGUAAAGUUGAUCAUACUUCGGUUUAUGUGUCUUUUUUUUUCACUCCUUAGGGUGGGACCUCCAACCUCCUUACUUAGUUGUUGAAAGGAAUCAGACAUCUCCAGCUGCCCUUUUAUCAAUGUCUCACCUCUCAUUGCUUGGUGUUCAGAAGCUCAAAGCAGGACGUUAAUUCAAGCUUACCGCCAGCCACAUUUGUACUGCAUAGCUUUUUCACACUUGAACAUUUCUGGUCUUAAUCUCUUUCUGUCCACAGUUUUUCAUUAUGACAUUUGAGAUACUCUAAACUUGUGAAACUCCAUGUUAUCUCCUGUUUCUUAACUUGAAAUUAACAAUACCUUAUUGCCUAGCUGUGAUAAUUGAAAGUCACUAAUCUACUAUGUCUAACUGGGUAUAUGAUAGAGACAGGCAUGCAGGAAAUGAGGGCCUCUCCAUCAUUUUGUCCCCACCGACCCCUGCAUCCUGAGAAAUGGCCUUCCUACACAUCUGAAUCUUCCUCACUUCUUCUGGAAACCAUCUUUGGCUUUCCUCUCGCCGUCCCAGACUUCUUCCUGCCCACAGCUGCCUCUUCCUUCUUUGAGAGCCUCUCCCUUUCCAUCUGCACUCCUCUUUCCAAUCGUCCUCAUCUUCCUCACCAGGGACAUCAGAAGAACCUCAGCGAGUCUGUGUGAACUGUGGCCUCACUUCCAGCAGCUCCCACCCGUGUCCCCUGCAGGGUUGCCCUCUGGGAUGCCCAGAAGUUUCAUGUCCACAAACUGACUCAGUCGGUUCUACCAUGGCCACUGAGAAGAGCGGUGCCCUCACUCUCCCUUUCUUGUUCUAAUCCAGGACCUCCUCCACGCCGAGCGAUCAGCCACACGUUCUCCCGAGGCAUCCUCUCCUCACAGACAUUUAGUCUUUCUCUUUUCAGUAUCCUUCCAGUUUUACAUGCUGUCUUCCAGGCCUGGUUACAGACAUUGUGGUGAGCUAUUCCACUUCAUUCCUCCUAAGUGUGAGAUCAUCUGUUGGACUAGGAUUGUAUACACCUUCAAGUAAAUAUCUGUUUUGUCUGUAACAUUUUGGGUUGACUCUUACCCAGAUUUGCCUGUGGGUGGACUCAACUUCCCCAUGCCCUGUUCCUUUGUUUCACUUUCAGUGUGGAAAUGCUGGCCAGACAGCUGUAGGGAAGCCUCCCACUUGACAUCUCCCUUUCUGAUGAUCCAGACCUUUGACAUCCUCUCUUCCUACUGCCAGCCUUCUCGCUACAGACCUAAUCAGUCUUCACCAAGUCCCCUGUCUGCUCAUUCCAUAUUGUUCUUCAGCGACAGCUGAAUAUUUAAUUUCAAACUCUAACAGAACUAAAAGUCCAGGGUCAGAUAGGUGUUAGGGUUAUAUUUGUUUUCCUUUCCAUUUUUUUGGCAUGUAUGUGUGCAUGUAUGUCCAUGUGCAUGUAUAGUCUGCAGGUGAUGUUAGGAAUAAUCCUCAAUUACUCUUCUACCUCAUUAAUUAAAAUAAGGUACCUCAGUUAAACCCAGAAAUCACCAAUGUGUCUAGUCUUGCGAGGCAGCUUGCUGCAGGGAUCCCCUAUCUGCAGAGGCUGGAAUUACAGACAGGGCACCACAAUCAUCCAGUUGGGAUCCAGACUCCAGGCCUCAUACUUGUAUGGUGACCACUUUAACCACUGAGGCAGCUCAGCCCCGAGGUUGUGUUUUAGUUUUGUUUCUGUUGUAGGUGUUUAUUUAUAAUUCUAGGUUUUAAUCUACCACGAAGGGGAAGUCAGGGCAGGAACUUGAAACAGCCAGUCACAUCCAGCAGUCAAGAGCAGAGAGAGAAUUAAUGCAUGAGUGCCUACUACUCAGCUCACUUUCUCCACUCAUAAUAUUGUAGGACUGGAGUCUGGGGGAUGGUGAUGCCCACAGUGGACUGGGUUUCCCCACGCCAAUCAACAUGAUCAUGACAGGCCCCCACAGGCACAGCCACAGGCCAACCUGAUCUGGCCAAUCCCUCCCUAAGAUCCUCUUCUCGGGUGAUUCUAGACUGUGUCAAGUUGACAAAGCUAAACAUCUUAGGGCUGGAGAGAUGAUUCCGUGGUUUGGAGCACUUGUUGCUCUCACAGAGGGCACGGGUUCGAUUCUCGGCAUCUACAUGGCAGUUCACAACCAGCCUUACUUCAGUUCCAGAGCAUCCACUGCCCUUGACCUUGGUGGACACCAGGCACAAACGUGGUACACGUAAAUGCAAGCAAAACAUUCA